UCGAGAAUUUUUCUCAAUGGGGGAAACCCUGAAGGAGCGACGCCGCGUGAAGGAUGAAGGUCUUCGGAUUGUAAACUUCUGUCAUUAGAGAACAAGGAGACGGGUAGUAACUGCCCCGUCUUUGAUAGUAUCUGAAGAGGAAGAGACGGCUAACUCUGUGCCAGCAGCCGCGGUAAUACAGAGGUCUCAAGCGUUGUUCGGAUUCAUUGGGCGUAAAGGGUGCGUAGGCGGCGUCGUAAGUCGGGUGUGAAAUCUCGGGGCUCAACUCCGAAAUUGCAUUCGAUACUGCGGUGCUUGAGGACUGGAGAGGAGACUGGAAUUCACGGUGUAGCAGUGAAAUGCGUAGAUAUCGUGAGGAAGACCGGUGGCGAAGGCGGGUCUCUGGACAGUUCCUGACGCUGAGGCACGAAGGCCAGGGGAGCAAACGGGAUUAGAUACCCCCGUAGUCC
This 449-nucleotide ribosomal RNA is filed under the name uncultured bacterium. RNAcentral's name for it is "bacterial SSU rRNA". It matches the Rfam family "Bacterial small subunit ribosomal RNA", at positions 355 to 796 of the family's 1533-position model. The record is from RNAcentral.